GUUACUCUCAGUGUCUUGCUCUCAGGUACAGCGUGAAAAGAAGUUUAGAAAGCGAGUAUUUUUGCAUUGAGUAAUAAAAGUAAUUAUGUGCAUUUAAAUGUUGUGUACGGCAUUGUAAGUGAGGUACAAGCUUUACCCAUAUUUUUGUUCUGUACGUGCGUCUGCGAAGUGUUGGUAUACCGCCAUAAUGAGGGAGAUCAAUAAGUUCGGAAGAGCAACAGAAAGAAAAACAUCCCGGUUCUAGUCGGACCGGGACUGCAUUUCGCGAUCGUUUUAAAGACGAUGAGUUGGAUUGGCAUUGAUAGUCUCUGCUUCCUACAUCGGGCAGACGCUUCUUCAGACGCGAUACUCAAUAGCAGAAAUGCCGUUAUUCUUCUGUCCAGCAUACUAUUUACCGGCGUUUUGUAUAAAGUCAUGAACGAACGCUUGUCAACUUGGAUUGCCGGUGAAAUACACACACUUAUCUGACCGCUGUUGAAUCGGAAUUCGUUGCUAAAUUAUCGGAUGAAGAUGAAAGGUCGGAAAAUGGCAGUCCCUUUGGUACGGCCCACCACAAGUAUUUUUCAGACAGCUCAUGCCCUACGGUAUUUUAGCAAACGUAAAGCUGAACGACGUAUUGAACACAUAAUUAUGAACAGAGAUUGUCGCAUUAGCGUCGUGUGUACAUUUUUGUUCCAAGAAUAGAUAGGACGACAGAAACGCGUUCAAUUAUGAACCUGACAGUGAAGCCGGCGAACAAGAAUAUCAGGAAUUAUGCAACUGGUGUAUGUGCACGGCCAAAAUAAGACACCAGCUACCUGUUAAUCAACCUUGUAUGUAAAUGGGUGCCGUCGAAGUGGUCAAUUUCGGCCUCAUAACUACAGUUCAAGGAAGCUGUAGCACUUGUCAUAACAAUGAGUAGAUAGACAUUGUGGACACAGAGAAUAUUUGUUUGAGAAAUUGUUAUUAGAAAAUCUUUGGAGGGACUGCAACAAAGGCUUCAGAAGGAUAAGAAAAGAACUGUUGUCUUCAUCAGCACCAACAUACUGACACGCAUUCAACACAAUGAACUUGGAGAUCAGUUCAGAGUAAUUUUUUUGGACAAAUACACUGUUGUUAACCAGUGUUAUGAUGGCUUAACUCUACUGGGGUAACUUUCAUUGCUGUGUCUGAAUAUCAUUGGAGGGGUGGUAGUCCAUUCUACCUCAGGAGAGAAAACCAGAGAAGACAUAGGUGUUUGAUGCUGGAUAGGGAAUGAAGGUGAGACAGACGAUCUUAUCUGGGUGGGAGCAGAUGAUUUGGCACACCCUGGAGGGUCUUCACUGACAGUGCCAGUGGUUGUGGCCAGGGGCUACAAAAAUGCGGGCGAAACUUCUCUCGUAAAGGUGCUGGACAUUGGUACAGUACAUUUCUAUGGAUAUGCCAAAGCAGCUGCUAUAGCCAUUUCACACUACGCUGGAGGAUGCAAUGUUGGUAGAUAUAUUCCAUGUCCGAUACGUCAGCUGUCGUGACUCAGAGGGCAGACUGUCACUUUGGACAAGACACUUAGUCACCAAGUCUCUUAAUCUCAGUCCAGAGCUGCUCAAAAAGUCACAGUAGUGAAGAAUGAGAUUCACUUGUUACACACAGAAAUGGCCAGUGAGUGCGGGAGUGUCUGCCUGCCGGUCUAUGCCACACACACAGCUGGGUUGGAUGCUCUCUGAAAGAAGAUCGAGGGGCUGUUAUGCGCGCAGUGGCUAGGACCUCGAUGGCCGUCAGUGUGUCCUCCAGAGGGUAGGAAUCCCACCAGCUGUAUGAGGAGGUGGCCGUCGUCGGUGUGAACACCGUCCCGCAGUAGGAGCGGUAAGUCUACAUCGAGGUCGUCAUCUCCAAAGAGCAGCUCGACCAGUUCGAGGGGAGGUUUCUAUGUGGUAGGCCGUACUGCUUUGAGUGACCAGUAUGUGAGAAACCACUGUACUGGAGGUACUGAAAUGUAGCACCUGACAUUUGCUGUUGUGCCUCCCAUAUAUUAUGUAAAAUGGACUAUGGUACAGAUUGUUUUUGCUGAUAUUGUUACCAUCACCUGCAGUGAUACAUGGAGGGAAAUUGGCUGUUACUGUUAAUAAGUUAAUGUUGUUGCAGGUAUUAUCCAUUUUGAAAUUUUAUGCUUAUAUUAGGUGUCAAAAUGAGGAUUCGAAUUGUUUCUAUAAUGACAGUAAUAUUUAUCUAACAUGACUUGCUUUGUAUUGUGGUAUGUUUAUAACAAGCUUCACUCUUACGCUAAUGAGUUAGACAAUAAGCCCAGAGCAUAUUGUUUUCAUGAUUGGUAACUGGAGUUGUGAAACUACCGUAGGCUACCAGCAGCAUGCGUAGUCUGUGUGGCAGUUUUCCUAGCUUUGGUCAGGUAAGGUUGUACCCACAUUAACUGUACAUCAUGUGUGUUACAUACCUAUCGGGUGUUACCUCGUAACGGUCACUUCUUUACAUAUGCAAAUGGUGUCUUGCUGCCCCAUAAACUGGAAGCGGUUUUCCAUCUAGAAAUUGACUGAGGAUAUGUUAAUGGAUAGGUAACAUGGAACAUGUUUUUUCUAUGUGGUUAUCCUCCUGUCUGCUACAUAAGAAUAAACAGUAUCGACAAAAAAACUUACAUCAAUUUUUAAUUCAGAUUUUAUCUGAAAAUUGUUGAUUUGUAACAUAAAAUAGAGGGAUGUUGGAGUAAAACUGAAGAAAACCAUACAGAUUUAUCAUAUAACACUAGAAAACACAAUUACCUCAACAAAAAGAUGAAAAGGCUGACAUUGGCAGUGUUUAAUUCAGAUGUUAUUUGAAAAUUGUAGAUUUGUAACGUAAAAGCAGAGGGAUAC
RNAcentral lists this long non-coding RNA (2822 nucleotides) under Schistocerca americana (American grasshopper). Its description in RNAcentral is "uncharacterized LOC124552602, transcript variant X2". Lineage: Eukaryota; Metazoa; Arthropoda; Insecta; Orthoptera; Acrididae. The record is from RNAcentral.